AGUAAAUAAAAAUUAUGAAAGCAAAAAAUUAUGGCGGUAUUUUAAGCUUUUCAGAGGAAUUUGCUCUUUAAUGGAUAAAACACCUAAAUCUUACUUGAAUUUGUUAAAUCAAUUUGUAUACCACUAUAAAAACAAUUAAUAACUCUAAUUGUUUAAAUUUAUUAAAUUAAAUUAUGUUAAGUCAAGGUGCAGUAAAAAUUUAAGAAUGAAGUGAAUUACAUUUCUUUUUAGAAAUAAAAAAUUAAAUUUACAAAUAGGAUUUGAAAGUAAAAUUAAAAUAGAAUGUUAAUUUGAAUAAAGCUCUAAAAUAUGUACAUAUCGCCCGUCACUCUUUUACAAG
Molecule: ribosomal RNA, 340 nt
Filed under: Rhipicephalus sp. EGK-2018
Lineage: Eukaryota; Metazoa; Arthropoda; Arachnida; Ixodida; Ixodidae
Description: partial 12S ribosomal RNA
Source: RNAcentral